CCUACGGGUGGCAGCAGUGAGGAAUAUUGGUCAAUGGACGGAAGUCUGAACCAGCCAUGCCGCGUGCAGGAAGACGGCUCUAUGAGUUGUAAACUGCUUUUGUACAAGGGUAAACCUGAAUACGUGUAUUCAGCUGAAAGUACUGUACGAAUAAGGAUCGGCUAACUCCGUGCCAGCAGCCGCGGUAAUACGGAGGAUCCAAGCGUUAUCCGGAUUUAUUGGGUUUAAAGGGUGCGUAGGCGGGUUGAUAAGUUAGAGGUGAAAUGUCCGAGCUUAACUCGUGAACUGCCUCUAAUACUGUUGGUCUAGAGAGUAGAUGCGGUAGGCGGAAUGUAUGGUGUAGCGGUGAAAUGCUUAGAGAUCAUACAGAACACCGAUUGCGAAGGCAGCUUACCAAUCUAUAUCUGACGUUGAGGCACGAAAGCGUGGGGAGCAAACAGGAUUAGUUACCCGAGUAGUC
This 460-nucleotide ribosomal RNA is filed under the name uncultured bacterium. Its description in RNAcentral is "partial 16S ribosomal RNA". It matches the Rfam family "Bacterial small subunit ribosomal RNA", at positions 338 to 795 of the family's 1533-position model. The record is from RNAcentral.